Molecule: non-coding RNA, 7149 nt
Organism: Oryctolagus cuniculus (rabbit)
Lineage: Eukaryota; Metazoa; Chordata; Mammalia; Lagomorpha; Leporidae
Source: RefSeq, a predicted model, not a curated record
UAUUUAUAUAAACAGGGCAAAUUUCAUGUAUUUCAUAUAUAUAGAUUUAGGAGCAUAGUGAUAUUUUCCACCCUACACUCCCUCCUGCCUAUGCUUUCACCCUCACUCCUCCUUCCCCUCUUAUUCUUUCUUUUAAUUUUUUUACAAUGACAUACGUUCAGUUUAUUUAUAAUCAUAAAAUUAACCAUACAGUAAGUAAAGAAUUCAACAAAAAAAGAAAGAAAAAAAAAACUGUUCCAUGACAGUAGAAACAUGAGCUAUAAGCAAUAAUCAAUUCUCAAAAUGUUAAUUUUGCUCAUAUACAUUACAUUUUUUGUAUUCUAUUAGUUACCACAGAGCAGGGAAAACAUAUGAUAUUUGUAUUUUUAGGCCUGGCUUAUUUCACUAAAUAUAAUAGUUUCCAGUUGCAUCCAUGUUGUUGCAAAAGACAGGAUUUCAUUCUUUUUCACAGCUGAGUAAUAUUCCAUAUGUAUAUAUGUGUGUGUGUGUGUGUGUGUGUGUAUUUGCAUAUAUAUAUUAUGUGCUUUAGCCAGUCAGUGAUUGAUGGGCAUUAAGACUGACUCUGUAUUUUAGCUAUUGUGAAUUGUGCUGCAAUAAACAUGGGGUCACUGAAAACUCUCAUGUGCUGAUUGCAUUUCAUUUGGAUAAAUUAGAGCUUAAUGAUACUUCUCAUCCUGCUUUCCUUCCCUUUCAUGCUCUCUCCUUCUUUUCUUAUUUUUCUUUCAAUUUUUAUAAUGCCUGUCUAAUACCACUGUCACCCACAGAUAUUACUUUCUGGGCAUUGCUGCCUAAUGAGGUGUAAUCAAAAAGUGUCCCUCAGGCACUGGCCAUUCUAGGACAAUAAUCUUUCUGUUGUCUCUUCUUCUUGUCACUGAAAAUCCCACGUUAAUUGAAAGAACUCAUUCACUUUUCAGUUUCUUAAAGUAUUUGGCUUUACCCAUAACCCGUUUUUUCCUCCUGGGCCUUAGGUUUUAGAGAUAAAAACCAAGACAUAUUUUGUGGGGAGCUGCUUUUGCUGCUUUUCUCUCUGCCAUGUAUGUUCCUCACAGAAAUAAGUGGAAAAUAUCUCACCUAUUGGAAUUAGGAAAAAGAAAUGGUGAAAACAGGAGGAAAAAUUUUAUCUCAAAGAGUAUCCAAUCAAAAUAAAUGUAAGAAUUGAUAAAUGGAAGAAUAACUUUAUCUUGUCCUCAGAAUCACAAAUCCUCAGUCAAAGGUGCUUUCCAGUAGCACUUCUGUUUCUCUCAGAAUGCAACCACUGGGUUCCCAUGAAGAAAUUAAGGAGACAAGGAACUGAGUUGCAUUAAUUUCAUUCCUUACAUUUGUUUAAAAUACAUCUAGUGAUGUGUGAAAUUAUAUAAUUAUUAUGUGAAUAUAAUUUGUUAAUUAAUAUUUUCAAUGAUAGAUAAUUGAAAAGUUUUUGCUUGGCAAAUUUUUAUAAACCUUUUCACUCCCUUAAGCAACACAUAUCUCUUACUACUGGGCAUGUUUUUGGCCAAAAGAUGUGAUACUUCUGUGGCAAAUAAAGAAUUAUAAAAGCAAUUAUGAAUUUUUCAUUAUGAUUGCUCCUCUCUACUAGCAUAAUUUGUUAGACUUUGAAAUGAGGUCAUUUAAAACACACACACAAACAUCCGAGUUUUGAAGCCUAAAAGAUUAUUAGAUGAAUUCAGAAAAAUCUGAAAAAUAUGCUUUUAUAGAUACAGAAACUAAGGAUGAAGAAAGUUAAAUAAGUUUUUGAGACAGCUAACUUGUGAUAAGUAGUUUUAUAAACUUGAAUAUGCGAAGGAAUGCUCAGAUGCUGGUAAAAAAACUUAUUUUUGUGUAUGUCUUCAUAACUGAAUAUUUAUAGGGCAGAUUGGCAUUUGAACUGUCGGAGUAAAGAUGAUCUGCCCUCAUCAGUAUAGGUGGGCAUCAUCUAAUCCAUUGUGGGCCUAAAUAAAAAAAAGAUACAGAAGGUUGACUUUGUUCUCUGCUAGAACUGGGGCAGCCAUCUUCCCCCGUCUUGGAGACUGCCCGUGUUCAUGCUUUCAGACUUGGACUGGCCCAUCUUCUUUUCAGACCUUCAGAUUGCACUUAGAGCUAUACCACAAGCUUCCCUGAACUACUGGCGUGCAGAUGGAAGAUCACAAGAAUUACUUUCCAUAAUCGUGUAAGCCAGUUCUUCAUUAUAAAUAUUUUUCUCUGCAUCUAUAUAUGUUCUAUUGGUUAUAUUUCUCUGACUAAUAUGUAACUGUUGGGUUUGUUGGAAGAAAGGAAGAAAAUCUCUCUUAUUUGUUAACAUGAUUAACGUUCUAAGGUUUACAAAGUACUUUCUUGUGCUGAUGAGUAUUUGCCAUUUAAAAUUAUUCUCUAAAUUAUGCCUUAUUUUAUUUUCAUCCAAUAUAUCAUAUCUAGCAAUCUCAGUACUGGGUAUAUAUCCAAAACACUUAAAAUCAUCAUAUUAGAGAGGUACCUGCAGCACAAUAAGGAAAAUAUGGAAUCAACCAAGCUGCCCAUUAUCGGGUGAAUGAAUAAAAUAAAAUGUAUAUACACAAUAGAAUAAUAUUCAAAAAAGAAUUAAAUCUUGUAGUUUCUGACAAAAUUGAUGGAACUGAAGGACAUCAUGUUAAGUGAAAUAAUUUAGAAAGAGAGACAAAUAGUAUAUCUUCUGUCUCAUAUGUGGGAGUGAAGAAAAUCAGUAUGAACACACAAUUGUGAUUACUAGAGGCUGAGAGGGUUGGAAAGGAUAAAAGAAAUUUGGAUUAAUAAAUAGGGGAAGCUGUUUUUAGUUAAUUAGUUGUGAUAAAUAUAGCAUACUAAUAUAAGGCAAUAAUGGGGAAGCUAUGUGGUAUAUUAGGAAUUCAUACUACACAACUUUUUAAAUUUCAGAAAUUUGAAACUAUUCAGAAGUAAAAAAUAUAUAAAACACAAAUAAGCAUGUAAAACCCACAUACCUUGAAGGAACAACAUAAGUCACUUUCAAAGAUUGUGUUAUAUGUAGUGAACCAUUAGGAUUUCUUAGUUUAUAAAUUUUUGCCAGAGUAUGUGAUUGCCCACUUCAAAUAAUAUUACAGAAAAUAGGGAUUAGUAGUUUAGACAGCACCUAUUUUAGUAACCUCUUCUACCUACUUUAGUAACUACUUCUACCUACACAUAUCCUUCAAGAAGACAGAGUAUGGAUUACAUAUUCAUGCAUGUGUAAUUACCAUUUGGGAUACCCUGGUUUUACCCUUUUUAGUUCCCAAAAGAGAGGUACCCACAGUUAGUCCAAAGGAAGAUUAAAGGUACAGUCAUCUAAGACCUUCAAGUCUACCCAAAGUUUCUGACAUUAGCUCCCAGGAAUUACAGUCCAACUACAAAGUUAGAUGAUUUCACAAAGAACCCAUCUCACUUCUGAAGCCAACUGCAAAUUUAGGAGCUUCCCUUAACUACCCUUGAGUGUUAAAAUUUCCUUGAGAGACACACAGAAUGCCUGGUAUCUCUUACAUUCAAACCUAUGGCUUGUUACAUGAACAAGAUACAAAUUAGAAGCAGUCAAGUGAACAGAUGUGUAGGACAGAGUCUUAGAAAUUCUAAUUUCAAAAUUUCUGUUGUCUUCAGGAUGAACUGUCUUCCCCACAUCAAUAUGUGUUGAUAUUCAGGGAGUACUGCCAAUCUCAGAAGCUCACCUGAGCUUCUAUGUCCAGAAGCUUUAUUGGGGCUUUAUAAUGUAGGUGUGAUUAAUUGAACGAUAGCUGCAUAAUUAAUCUCCAUCUUUAUGCUCCCUUACCAGGAGGUUGGGUUGAUAUCAUCUAAUUGGAAGGGUUGCCUAUGAUACAUUUUAUUGGCAUAAUCUAUCAGGUAUGGUUUGAAGACCUACUGUGAUUGUUCUUAUUACUGUAAAUUAUUAAGUGUGGUUAAGGGGCCUAUUAUGAAUUAUAAAGGUACCACUAUCACUCAAUAAAUUACUAGUAUUUGAAAAUUGUCUCAAAAAAAAAAAAAAAAACCAGGAACAAUGCGCAGACUUCUCUUGGGUGAGGCCAAAGGUUUUUCUACACAAGAGAUAUCAGAAUUCUGUGAGGUACUGGUAUUAUUUGUAAUAGAAAAUUUUGAAUACUCUUUAAUUAGUCUCAAUGAGUGAAUCAUUCACACACAUAAACUUCCUUCUAACACUGUUUUUCUAUAUCCCAUAAGUUUUGAUAUGUUCUAUUGUCAUCUUCAUUCAUUCCCAGAAAUUUUAAUUUCCCUUUUCAUUUCUUCUAUGACCCACUAUUCAUUCAGGAGCAUGAUGUUCAGUCUCCUUGUGUUUGCAUAUGAUCUAGAAAUUCUUGAGUUGUUAAUUUCCAGGUUCUUUCCAUUGUGGUCAGCAAAGAUGCAUGCUAUGAUUUCAAUUCUUGGAGUUUGCUAAAUCUUGCAUAACUUUCUAGCAUAAGGUCUAUCCUAGAGAACAUUCCAUGUACUGAUGAAAAGAAUGUGUAUUCUUUGACUGUGGGAUGAAAGGUUCUGUAGCUCUCAGAUUCAUUUGUUCUAUAACAUCGAUUAGUUCUUUUGUUUCUUCGUUGAUUUUUUUAUCUCGUUAAUCUGGCCAUUGUAGAAUGUGGGGUUUCAAAAUCCCUCAUUACUAUUGUUGUCUGUGUCACAUUUUAGAUCUAUUAACAUCUGUGCCCUGGCACUUGGUACAUAUACAUUUAUUAUAGUUACAUCUCCCUGGUGAAUUGAUCCCUUAGUCAUUGCAUAAUGCCCUUCUUAGUGUCUUUUAACAUUUUUUGUGUUAAAGUCUAUUUUGUCAGAUAUUAGGAUGGUUUCACCUGCUCAAUUUUGGUUUCUGUUAGCACAGAAUAUCUAUCAAUCCUUUCAUUUUCAGCAUGCAUGUAUAUUUAGUAGUGAGGUAUGUUUCUUUUAGGCAGCAAAUAGGUGGGUCUUGUUUGUUAAUUCACACAUUCAUUCUGUAUCUUAAUUGUAGAAAUGGGCCAUUAUGCACUCAAAGCUACUAUUGAUAAAUAAUGACCUUUCCCUGCUGUUUUUCUGUAACUAUUCCUGUUGUUUAUCUUGGAUUUCCUCUGUACUUUUACUGGGAGACUUUUUGCCUUCACAUUCUUUCAUAAUGAUGAGUAUCUUUCUGUGUUUCUGUGUGUAGCACAUUCUUACGUAUCAUUUGUAUGUUUGGACAAGUGGUGACAAAUUUAAUUUCUGUCUAUUAUGGAAGAUCUUUAUUUCACCUUCAUUCAUAAAUGAGAGCUUUGCAGGGUACAGUAUUCUAAGUUGACAGUUUUUUUUUUUUCUUUUAAGACUUGGACUAUGUCUCUCCAUUCUCUCCUGGCCUGUAGGGUUUCUUGGAGAAGUAAGCUGUGAGUCUAAUUGGGGAUCCUCUGAAAGUAAUCUGGCAUUUUUCUCAUUCAAAUUUUUGAACCUUUUCUUUAUAUUUUACUGUUGCAACUUUGAUUACAGUGUGUCAUGGUGAAGAUCUUUAGGAGUUCUAUGUGCUUUAUGUACUUCAUAUACUUUUCUCUACAUUAGGAAAGUUUUCUGUAAUUGUUCCAGUGAAUACUCCUUCUAAUCCAUUGUCUCUUUCCACACCUUCAGGAACUCCUAAGACCCAUAUGUUGGGUUGCUUCAUAGUAUUACAUAUAUCUCUAACACUACUUUUAAUUUUUCCAAUUUCUUCUUUGUUUUGUUUUGGUCUCACAAAUUUCCAAAUAUUUGUCUUCUAGCUUAAAUAUUCUUUCUUCUGCCUUACCAAGUCUAUUGUUCAAGCUUUCCACUGUAUUUUUAUUUAACAUAUUGAGUCCUUAAUUUCUAAUAUUUCAGUUUGGUUUCUGUUUAAAAUCUCAAUCUCAUAGAAUUUUUCUUCCUUGUCAUGUAUGGAUUUCUUUAACUCAUGAGUUUGUUUCUUGUUGCUUCUGAGUAAUCUUAGGACUAUUCUUUUGAAUUCCUUUCCAGGCAUUUCAUCAAUAUAUUCAUCUUCACAUUCUAAUAUUCAAGUGUUUUUUGUGUUCCUUUCAGGGAGUCAUGUUGUCUUCAUUAUUCUUAUUUCUUGAAUUUCUUUGUUUAUUUUUAGACAUUUGUGGAAACACUUGUUGGUUUCUUCUCUGAUGGAUUUUAUCUUUAAACUAUACCUAAACGCCUUAGUGGAGUAUCUGUUGCAUCAUUGAAUACACUGAGGCAUGUGCUGGCUGUGGCCAGUGUUCUGUUGCAGUACUCCAGCGUGGGGGAUUCUCUCUCUAGACAGAGAGAGAAAAAAGAGAAAGAGGCAGAGAAACGGAGUGCUUCCCUCCACUGGUUUACUCCCCAAAUACCUGCAAUGGCCAAAGAUGGACCAGGACCAAUACCCGGAAAUGAGACUAUAAUCCAGCACAGGAAGUUUUCACUCAUCCUUCUAUUUACAAUGUGGUAAUGAGUUUGCAUCUUGUAGCCAUCAGGAUCUGCGUCUUCAGGAUGCCUGAUACCAUUCCUGUGGAUUGUCAUUUACAUUUUUAUUAAAGUUCUCCUUCUCAGCUCUCUGCUAUGGCCUGGGAAAGCAGUGGAAAAGGGCUCAAGUGCUUGGGAGCCUGCACCUGCAUGGGAGGCCCUAAGGAAGCUGUGACUCCUGGCUUUGGAUCGGUGCAGCUCCAGCCAUUGAGGCCAGGGGAUGUGAACCAGUGGAUGGAAGACAUCUCUCUUUUUCUGCCUCUGCCUCUCUGUAACUCUGCCUCUCAAAUAAUGACAUAAUCUGUGCCUGUCCUCCCAUGGUUUCAACAUCAGUACAUCCAUGAUCACUGUGAAGUGUGAGUUUCAGUUCUGUCUCUGCCUCUCCCACUGAGGUUGCUCUUAAUCUACAGAUGGAAGAACCGUUGUGAGGAAUUCUCAAAAGUUAAGUAUGUCAGGCCGGCGCCACGGCUCACUAGGCUAAUCCUCCGCCUAGCGGCGCCGGCACACCGGGUUCUAGUCCCGGUCGGGGCGCCGGAUUCUGUCCCGGUUGCCCCUCUUCCAGGCCAGCCCUCUGCUGUGGCCAGGGAGUGCAGUGGAGGAUGGCCCAGGUGCUUGGGCCCUGCACCCCAUGGGAGACCAGGAAAAGCACCUGGCUCCUGGCUCCUGCCAUCGGAUCAGCGCGGUGCGCCGGCCGCAGCGCGCCAGCCGCGGCGGCCAUUGGAGGGUGAACCAACGGCAAAGGAAGACCUUUCUCUCUGUCUCUCUCUCUCACUGUCCACUCUGCCU